AACGAACGUUGGCGGCGUGGCUUAGGCAUGCAAGUCGUACGAGUUUCCUCUGGGUACCUGGUUUAAAAAAGUGGCGAAAGCGGCAGUAAGGCAUGGAUAAUCUACCCUGCUUACCGGGAUAGCUGUCCCAACGGGCAGUUAAUCCCGGAUGAGCUGGUGGGUCCGCAUGGUUCUGCCAGGAAAUGCGCCAGCCGUGUCGGGAGUAAUCCAUGGGAUAUUAGCUAGUUGGUGAGGUAAAGGCGCACCAAGGCGAAGAGGUCUAGCGGGUGUGAGAGCACGACGCGCGGCAUUGGACCUGAGACAGUGGCCAGACUCCGGCAGGUGGCUGAAGUGGAGGAUGUUCGGCAAUGGGCGAAAGCGUGAGCGAGCGAGGCCGCGUGAUCGUUGAAGGCCAUUAUGUUGUAAAGAUCUGUCGAGGGGGAACAAGCCGCAAGGUGGAGGGAUCCCUGGAGGAAGCACCGACUAAGUUCGUG
This 473-nucleotide ribosomal RNA is filed under the name uncultured bacterium. RNAcentral describes it as "partial 16S ribosomal RNA". It matches the Rfam family "Bacterial small subunit ribosomal RNA", at positions 29 to 507 of the family's 1533-position model. The record is from RNAcentral.